GCGCGCGAUGGUGGGCUCAGAACGGUCGGAAAUCGUUCGCUGAGUGCAAUGGCAUAAGCCUGCCUGACUGCGAGACUGACAAGUCGAGCAGAGACGAAAGUCGGUCAUAGUGAUCCGGUGGUCCCGUGUGGAAGGGCCAUCGCUCAACGAAUAAAAGGUACGCUGGGGAUAACAGGCUGAUACUGCCCAAGAGUCCAUAUCGACGGCAGUGUUUGGCACCUCGAUGUCGGCUCAUCACAUCCUGGGGCUGGAGCAGGUCCCAAGGGUAUGGCUGUUCGCCAUUUAAAGUGGUACGUGAGCUGGGUUUAAAACGUCGUGAGACAGUUUGGUCCCUAUCUGCCGUGGGUGUAGGAAUGUUGAGAGGAGCUGACCCUAGUACGAGAGGACCGGGUUGGACGAAUCUCUGGUGGACCUGUUGUGGCGCCAGCCGCAUUGCAGGGUAGCUAUAUUCGGACGGGAUAACUGCUGAAAGCAUCUAAGCAGGAAGCCUCCCUCAAAACGAGCAUUCCCUUGAGAGCCGUGGAAGACCACCACGUUGAUAGGCCGGAUGUGGAAGCGCAGCGAUGUGUGAAGCUGACCGGUACUAAUAGCUCGAUUGGCUUGAUCGU
Molecule: ribosomal RNA, 608 nt
Filed under: Devosia sp.
Lineage: Bacteria; Pseudomonadati; Pseudomonadota; Alphaproteobacteria; Hyphomicrobiales; Devosiaceae
Description: partial 23S ribosomal RNA
Rfam family: Bacterial large subunit ribosomal RNA
Source: RNAcentral